UGUUCCGCCUGUUGCCCUUGGU
This 22-nucleotide non-coding RNA is filed under the name Arabidopsis thaliana (thale cress). The record is from RNAcentral. Lineage: Eukaryota; Viridiplantae; Streptophyta; Magnoliopsida; Brassicales; Brassicaceae.